GUGAAGAAACCCAAGUCUGGACCUAAGCCUGAAACUGAGUGCUUCUACUGCAAGCAGACUGGACACUGGAAGCGGAACUGCCCCAAGUAUUUGGCGGAUAAGAAGGAUGGCAAAGUGAACAAAGGUAUAUGUGAUAUACAUGUUAUUGAUGUGUACCUUACUAAUGCUCGCAGUAGCACCUGGGUAUUUGAUACUGGUUCUGUUGCUAACAUUUGCAACUCGAAACAGGGACUACGGAUUAAGCGAAGAUUAGCUAAGGACGAGGUGACGAUGUCAUAUCGGUGUAAAACGCAUGAAGAAACUCCAUACUGA
Molecule: ribosomal RNA, 312 nt
Filed under: Triticum aestivum (bread wheat)
Lineage: Eukaryota; Viridiplantae; Streptophyta; Magnoliopsida; Poales; Poaceae
Description: partial small subunit ribosomal RNA
Source: RNAcentral